RNAcentral lists this ribosomal RNA (500 nucleotides) under uncultured bacterium. RNAcentral's name for it is "partial 16S ribosomal RNA". It matches the Rfam family "Bacterial small subunit ribosomal RNA", at positions 30 to 523 of the family's 1533-position model. The record is from RNAcentral.
AUUGAACGCUGGCGGAAUGCUUUACACAUGCAAGUCGAACGGCAGCACGGACUUCGGUCUGGCGGCGAGUGGCGAACGGGUGAGUAAUGUAUAGGAACGGGCCCAGUCGUGGGGGAUAACGUAGUGAAAAUGACGCUAAUACCGCAUCCGCACAACGGAUGAAGACGGGAGAUCGCAAGACAUCGCCCGAUUGCAGCGGGCUAUAUCAGAUUAGGUAGUUGGUGGGGUAAAGGCCCACCAAGCCAACGAUCUGUAGCUGGUCUGAGAGGACGACCAGCCACACUGGAACUGAGACACGGUCCAGACUCCUACGGGAGGCAGCAGUGGGGAAUUUUGGACAAUGGGCGAAAGCCUGAUCCAGCCAUUCCGCGUGCAGGAAGAAGGCCCUCGGGUUGUAAACUGCUUUUGUACAGAACGAAAAGGUUUCUACUAAUACUAGGAGCUCAUGACGGUACUGUAAGAAUAAGCACCGGCUAACUACGUGCCAGCAGCCGCCGUAA